Non-coding RNA from Microcebus murinus (gray mouse lemur), 1467 nucleotides. NCBI's taxonomy places the organism in Eukaryota, Metazoa, Chordata, Mammalia, Primates, Cheirogaleidae. The record is from RefSeq and is a predicted model, not a curated record.
CAAAACAAAACAAAACAAAUUAGAAUUCAUAGUGCAGUGAGUCACUCUAGCCUAGGGAAUGAAAGUUUUUGGAAUCAUCUAAGAGUCAUUAGGAGAAAGAGGAAGAAGGAAGAGAAGGAGGAGGGGAAAUGGAACUGCUCGCUGGCUUUUGCUUUAUGAGGAUCAUUAAUCUCUGUUUCUUGGCUUUCCUUGGUUGAACACAUGUGACUGAUAAUGCCUUGGGAUAACUGGUAGGUACACUGACUGUGAAUUGAAUUGCUGGAGGUAAUGCUUGCAGUGUGUGGUCUCCCUUGCAGAAGUACGACCUCAAAGUCCAGUUCUGAUCCUUCAGACAGCAAUGCAAAGCCUCCCUUCCCUGGCUUUGGCAUUUUCUGUCUAGUUGGGUCUUUUGUUUGUUCUUAGUCUUUGCUUUUGGCUGAAUAAGCUUUUGGUGACUGAUCUUGUAUCUAACAUCAGCCAGGAACAUAUUGGCAAUCGGUGGAUUUUGCUAAGUCUUGCAGAUAAAUAACCAGCUCUUCAAUCACCACCAGGGCAUCCAAGCAACACAGUGUUCUUCUAAGGAUUAAAUUAGCACCAAACUUUAAGAAGUGAAGGAAGAAGUACACAGGAAAUUACCAACGCAUCACUCUAAUUCCCUACCUAAAUUGCUAAAACAAUCAAUAUCACAGACAGUCUGGAAGCCCCCUUGGGAAGCUAAGAAUCUCAAGUUGGCUGUCCCUUCGAGACAGGAAAAUGAGCAAUUGCGAGACCCAGAAUCUGCAGUAACAGGCAAAUGCAAGUUCUGGAUCGGAUCUAUACCUUCUGUGUCUCCUUCUUGGCGUCCCAGUGCUCAUAAUAUUCUAUAUUCCUGGACAUGAUACUUCUCUUCACGCCUUCCCUAUUAAGAAUUGAGUUAAAAUGGAAUUUUCCUUAAUGAUGCUCCAGGCAGCUGACUGCAUUGAGGCACUCUCUUAUCUGGAUUCUUGGAUUUGAUCAGUGGGAGCUGUGGCUGGAGACAAGAGGGUAGGAAGAGACAGCAGUCGUGUCUGUGCCCCCCGGACCCCCUGCGGUGUCUUUGUGGCCAUGGCUUGUAAGGAAGUCGCUGCUCUUCUCAAGGUGGCACUGUCUUCUUCACUCUCUUCUUCCACAUUCUGAAUCUGCUUUUACAGAGUUUCCGAGUAAACAGCAGAAGAAUGAGCUACAGCGUCACAUCUCCUGUGAUAAUCCCUUCUCCAAGGAAAGGCAGGAAAUCAAGCCUCGGACUUUGACAUCCGAGCAGUUUGUUAUCUACCUGUCACCAAGAAGAAAGAAAGAACAGAUGCAGCAGUUUCUCAACUAUACCCUGCCACUUUUACAGCCCCCUUUAAAGAAUCCCGAUAGCUGAAGAGCUGAUUUUCUGAUUUGGGGGCCAGCACAUUCCCUUUCCACCUCCGUGCUGGUCCUUUCCCCUUCCCCCAGAGAAAAGCAAAUAAACCUUUUCUUCCUAUC